CACUGCCUGCCUUUGAGCUGGGUGCCCCAACGGGAGCUGCAAGGGCCUGAGGACUUGACGGCCACUCGCCAACCUGAACCUUGGCGGGUGCACAGGCUCCAGCCUCCCAGAACUCAGAGGCAUCACCCAGGGCCUCGUUUUCUUUGACCCGGGCCUCUGCUGUAGGUUCCCCGGCCUUUUGGGAUGCAGCCCCCUCUUUUGGUUCCUGCGGCCCCGGCGGCGAGGUGCCCUCUGCCAGGGACUCACCCACCCCGACCUCUGCUUCCUCUCUCGGGUUCUCCUGAUCCUGGGGUGCUGGUCCCUCUCCAGGGUCCUGGGAUUCCCGGGAGUGGCUGCUGACCACCACGCAGCCUUCGUGGGGCCCAACCAGGACAUGGUCGUUAUCAUGGAUACGGUGCAGAAGAAAAUGGACCAGAGUCCUGAAGAGGGACUGAAACUGUGCCACGGGGGCCUCGGGAGCACCCGCAGGGAGGACUUGUGGGCCCUCUUGGCCAUUGCUGUCUUCCUCCUCCUCUUCAGUCUCUUCCUCUUCCUCCUGAUUGUCUUCCUGGUUUUCGUCCUGCUCUUCCGACUCAUAUUCAGACCCCACCCUGGUUCCCAAACUCAAAUUCGAAAUCUUGAGAUGGGUAAUCAUAGUCGUCCUCGUCCCCAAACUCGAACUCGAAGUCCUCUUCUUCGUCGUCUUCGUCCCCGUCCUCAUCUUCGUCUUCCUCCUUGUCUUCUUCCUCUUCCUCCUCUUGUAGCAGCUUUACAACCCAGCUCUCUUCUGCGGCCCAGGUGGCCUCCUGCCCAUCCUCCUCUUCAGGAAGGGCUCUGGAAACCUCUCCGGGAGGCAGGAAGGCCGCACCCUCCUCGACUCCGCCCUUCCCUUCUGAAGGUGACCCCCGGACCCCGAGGGGCCUGGGGUCCUGGCCUGCCCCAUCACCAGCUUUGUCCUGGCCACCUAGGACCAGAUUUUGCUCCUCUGUGGCAGCCAUGGCAGGAGCGACUUGCCAGUCAGUGCCUCAACUGGAGCUUUGACUGGACUGCAGCCACAACUUUGGUGAAAAUGGCGUCCGCUGAAGUGACUGCCCUCAAGGGGAGGCUGUUGGCAGCAGGGCCUGUGCCGAGCCGGUGGGGGCGGCAGAGAAGAUGGCUUCAGAGGACACAACAGUCUGUGAAGGUGCCUGUGGAAGCCCCGCGACAGGAAGGGCAGAGGAGCAGCCCAAGGAGC
This 1213-nucleotide long non-coding RNA is filed under the name Felis catus (domestic cat). RNAcentral's name for it is "lncRNA (ENSFCAG00000049787.1)". Lineage: Eukaryota; Metazoa; Chordata; Mammalia; Carnivora; Felidae. The record is from RNAcentral.